ACCGGAAGUGACACAACGAUUAGCCUAAUAGGGCUUUUGGAGAGUGAUGUCAGGAGAGGGGGCGUGGCCAGGAUUUUUGGUUGAGGCGCCAUGUUUCUGGACCGAACAAAGCGCUAGCGAAAAAGGAGCGAAAGUACACGGAUAACACCAGCUAUGUCUUUCCCCACCUGGAAGCAACAUGAGGCAGCUCAUGCAUCGGAUGUUACCAAAAGAAGGCUUCUAGUCUGGAUAGCAGCUGUGAGACGAGCUGAUAUCCAGUUUUCUUCCAUCUCCAAAUAUCUGUUGGUGUGCUCCAGACAUUUUCAUUCCGGCAAACCAGCCAAUGAAAUGGAUGAAACAUCGUGACUGGGUUCCAGCUACACAAGGGACCUGCUUCAAACAUACCACCAUGCCAAUCAGAUUACUUCUUCCAUGUGAGGGUGAAGAGGUGACCCUUCUGGAUAAGACGGUGAAGGUUUGCUGCCGUUUUGGUGAAGUGUGGUAGUAAAACCAGGGAAAAAUGAAACUUGCUCCUGUUAAAUAUUCUUAAGUCUUGUGCAGUAUAGAUAGCGGUAAUUUUUCAGAAGAUAAAUUGAAGUAAUUGAUAGUAAAUUAAGUAGUGUUAGUAGUGGGUGAUAUCGUGUAAAUGCUGUCAUGAUUUUGUGUAAACAU
Long non-coding RNA from Pelmatolapia mariae (spotted tilapia), 651 nucleotides. RefSeq lists it as uncharacterized. The record is from RefSeq and is a predicted model, not a curated record. The transcript is spliced from 3 exons. NCBI's taxonomy places the organism in Eukaryota, Metazoa, Chordata, Actinopteri, Cichliformes, Cichlidae.